UACGAAGGUCCCGAGCGUUGUUCGGAAUCACUGGGCGUAAAGGGAGCGUAGGCGGCAUGGUAAGUCAGAUGUGAAAUCCCGGGGCUCAACCCCGGAACUGCAUCCGAUACUGCCUUGCUUGAGGGUUGGAGAGGUAGCUGGAAUUAUCGGUGUAGCAGUGAAAUGCGUGGAUAUCGAUAGGAACACUCGUGGCGAAGGCGAGCUACUGGACAACAUCUGACGCUGAGGCUCGAAGGCUAGGGGAGCAAAAGGG
Molecule: ribosomal RNA, 253 nt
Filed under: uncultured bacterium
Lineage: Bacteria
Also listed under: 1 other name
Description: partial 16S ribosomal RNA
Rfam family: Bacterial small subunit ribosomal RNA
Source: RNAcentral